RNAcentral lists this ribosomal RNA (211 nucleotides) under Argulus foliaceus. Its description in RNAcentral is "partial large subunit ribosomal RNA". It matches the Rfam family "Eukaryotic large subunit ribosomal RNA", at positions 63 to 260 of the family's 3401-position model. The record is from RNAcentral. Lineage: Eukaryota; Metazoa; Arthropoda; Ichthyostraca; Arguloida; Argulidae.
AACUAACAAGGAUUCCCCUAGUAACGGCGAGCGAACGGGGAAUAGCCCAGCACCGGGCCACACGAUGUUCAAGCGCGUGGGAACGCUGUGUUUGGGAGGGAUCCUUCUCGCGGCUUUCGGCUAACGUUCCAAGUCCGCUUGAACGCGGCCAUCGCCCGCCGUGGGUGACAGGCCCGUCUGAACGUUCCGAGUCACGGGUUGGUCCCUCCUU